GCAAUUUGGGAAAUGUAAUCAUCCCUGCUGUACCAGCAAUGUUGACUGUCCUAGGCAGUAAUUGACACCCGUUUUGUGGCAACUCUUGCAGCCUAAAACGUAAGCUCCUUAGUCCCAGAAACGCUGAUUGUUGAAUUUCUGGGUAAAGCAGUGUUGAAGCAUGGAAACCCGCCAGCAGCUUUGUGUGUCAUAGUUGCUGGUUUUUAAUUAACUGGAAGCGAAUUGUGGCCUGCAGUACUCCAGCAUGUUCGACCAGCAUGGUUAUGUACUAUUAUGGACAGAAUCCUAUCCUCUAGGAGUAAUUUGAAAUCGAUUUUCGUGUACUAGAUUGUCGAGUUGGUAAUGUUUGAUUCAUGUUUCGACACUUGUUUUGGAUCAUUGUGGUGUUUUAUUGUGAAUGCCCUGGUACCAGGAGUAGUUUUACUUACAAUCUUGAUCAAUAUAAUUUAUUUACUUGAUCAAAAAAAAAAAUUGUUGUAGUAACAAAACUUGGGGAAUCUCUUUUCGUCAUCCCAGCCGAUGAUGUUUAACCCGUUUGCCACCAUCAACUAGAACGUGCGACUUCAACAGCA
Molecule: long non-coding RNA, 572 nt
Filed under: Olea europaea (common olive)
Lineage: Eukaryota; Viridiplantae; Streptophyta; Magnoliopsida; Lamiales; Oleaceae
Description: long non-coding RNA (OEUR_LNC009514)
Source: RNAcentral